GCAGAUGUAAUCUAGUCUGGCCUAGGAUUGUAGCCUUCCAAGCUACUCGCCCGGGUUCAAAUCCCGGCGUCUGCA
Molecule: transfer RNA, 75 nt
Filed under: Methanomassiliicoccaceae archaeon
Lineage: Archaea; Methanobacteriati; Thermoplasmatota; Thermoplasmata; Methanomassiliicoccales; Methanomassiliicoccaceae
Description: tRNA-Gly
Rfam family: tRNA
About the family: Transfer RNA (tRNA) molecules are approximately 80 nucleotides in length.
Source: RNAcentral